UGGGUCCUAUUUUGAAUAGGACGACACUAAUAGAUGGUACAUUUGAAACAGCAGGAAAUAUUUCUUGAAGUACCACAAAGACCUUCAUUCCUUGGAAUUCCCAGCUGCAAGAUGGUCAGAGGCUGAAUCCCACAGCUGGAUUUAAAGAGGGCUGUGCAGGUGUGAGCGGCCUAAAAGGCCAUCAUUAAAUGAGUGUAAUUAGAUCUCAUGCUUCAGGACAUUCCUCAAGGGCCAAAAAGGAUCUUCAGCUCCUUCCCACCACUUCACCUACUACAACACUGCACAACUGUUUAGAGGCACUAUAGGGAGGCGUGGAGCUUUCCUUUGAAACACCAAAUAUUGGCCACGGCUGGAGGCAGGGUACUGGGCUUGACAGGGACCAAUGGUUUGAUCUUGUUUGGCCAAUUCUAUGUUCCUAAAGGUAUUGCUGACAGCCUGAAGGUUUACCUACCCAAAAGACACAAACAAGAGGAGAGAGGUCUCCUUACCUUUGUGUGUCAGAAAUGCACCACCAAGCCCAGGCCCAGCCUCCGAACACAUACUGCUUUAGAUCAGAGCCACAGCAGCCACCUGCAGCACAAGCAGAAAGCACAAGUAUGUUAUAGUUACACACACAGAGCCACCUCCCCCAGGCAAGUUAAAAAUAAAAACUUGCUUCCAAAUAGCUCUCCACUCAAUGACGAGUCACAAUAGCGACCCGCAAGAUUGCAGAAAAUGCAUGCUCAAUUCCUGGGAAAGCAAAGGCAGAGAGCAGCUCUCUCACAAACAGCAGCCUUCUGUAAUACUGGCCUUUCUGCCCCCAGAGGCUGAAGAACAGGCUGAGUGAAUUAAUUCUGCUAGUUCCCCCCAGUCUUUCUGAAACCACAGGGAUGUUGAUGUAACGACACAACAUGCGACUGCUGCACUGGAAGAGGUGAGCUAAACGCGUGCUACUCCACAGGACACGAAGAACAUCUUUCCUGAAGCCCCCUUAUAUGUUGCUUUCCUCACCACUGACGUUGUUGUUCAUUCAGUGCUGACCCAACUACACUAUUUGCAAGAGUUAGACCAGGGGUGGGCAAAAUAGGGCCCGGGGGCCACAUCUGGCCCUUCAGACGUUUUAAUCUGGCCCUCGAGCUCCCACCAGGGAGCAGAGUCCAGGGCGUGCCCUGCUCCGGUGCUCCAGCUGGGGAGCAGGGUCAGGGGUUGGCCCCACUCCACGCAGCUCCGGGAAGCAGCAGCAUGACCCGCCCCCCCCCACGCAGCUCCCAUUGGCUGAGAACCACAGCCAAUGGGAGCUGCAGGGGCGGCACCUGAGGAUGGGACAAUGUGCAGAGCCGCCUGGACAUGCCUCUGUACAGGAGCUGGAAAGGGGAGACGCUGCUGCUUCCAGGAGCUGCUUGAGACAGUGUUAUCUCAAAAGCACCUUAUGCUUCAGACUUCUAAAGCAACACAGUUGAAAAAAACAAGCUGAAAAGUUGAGUUCUUGCAGGGGGAAUCCCCCAAGCUGUGGACAAUACCUGCUGCUUUUGGCUCGGGAUUAUUAGGACAUCCCACGCUCUGAAGGUAAAACACAGACUCAAUUGCUUGCAAGUUGUUUAACUUUGUGUUUUUUCCAGUAACUCUUUUUGCCAUGCUCAGGUUCAAGACCUGAAACCAGUGAGAUUAAGGGCCAGUAGCUUAGAUGUUUGUUUCGAUCACUACUUGUAUGUGCAUUAUUCUCCCACCGCCAAGACAACAGCUCCCUGCCAACUUGCAUGGCAGCUAGAAGACGAUUCCUCCGAAUCAGGGGGAAAGCUUAGGCCUGGUCUGCACUUAAACAUCAGAUCAACCCUAGUUAUGUCACUUGGGGCUGUGAAACACCGUGUAUUCUGAGUGCCGCAGUUAGAUUCAUCUAACCACCCAUGAAGAGGCGGCUAGGUUGAUGAAAGAAUUCGUCUGUCGACCUAGCUACUGGGGCUGCGAGAGACGGAUUAGAAAAACCCCUUCUGUGGAAGUAGGGAGUGUCCAAGCUGUGCCGCUGUAGCGAAGACAAGCCCUCAGAGAAGCUGAUUGGUGUGACAGCUCCUAAAACAGAUUCAAACACAACGUUCUGGAUAGAUUCUGCUUCCCAGACCACACUUAUCACUGAACAGACAUGGCAGCAUGUGUCCCUUCAAACAGAUGUUACUUUCUUUCAUACACAAUGUAAGAAAAUAUCUUACUUCGAAUCUUCUCCAAACUGAGCAGCAGCACCCUUACUAAUUCUCACCAGAAAGCACAGAAAGUUACAUCUGUGCACACCAGAUUUGGUGCCAUGUAGUGCUGUUUAGUAAAAUCAUUUUUAAUAGUGUCCAAAGCAGAAAGAAAAUACGGAAAGUUAUAAUAAAGUUCUUCUAGAAAGAUUCAAUCUGAAUUUACUAAUGGGAGUGAAUUGCCAAAUAGGUUCUUUAAUACAAGUUGUACAUCCGGGCACAGUAGAAUAUUCUGGUGGUAAAAGAAUGAGCUGCAUGAACUAAUUGCUUUAAACACUAAUUUCCUAUUUACAAUCUUGCCAUCUGCUUCCCAGGUCCCAAAGAUCAAGUGAAAAAACAGAAACAAAUCACCAAUGUGAAAAACUUUGCAAAUCUGGAAAACAAACCCCAGCACAAUGAGAUUUGGCAGAGAAACCUCCUAUUUCAGCUAGCACAUCCCCUCUUCUCUUCAAGUCUGGGUCUCACAGCUACUUGGCUACAAUUUACAGACAUCCACCGUGCCUUUUCCAGCACAAUAGAAUACAGCCAGCUAUAUUACCACAGGAGGACUCAUGCCAGACAGCAGUAUUCUGGCUUGGAGCCUGCAGAGGGAAGUGAUCCUGCAUUAAAGUCAGAAGUGUUCCCAGAAACAACAAAACUAGACGGCCUGUUUCUUAUGAGAUUAGAUGAACCAAAUUAGGAUUUAUGAUUAGUUCCAGGUCUACAUACAGAAAAUGCCUCCAGCAGAUCCAAAAAAGCCCUUUGCGCUGCUGCUCUAAGCCCUGGUCUACACGACGAGUUGAGGUCGAAUUUAGCAGCGUUAGAUCAAUUUAACCCUGCACCCGUCCACACGGUUAAGCCAUUUUUUCCAACUUAAAGGGCUCUUAAAAUCAAC
Molecule: long non-coding RNA, 3087 nt
Organism: Chelonia mydas (Green sea turtle)
Lineage: Eukaryota; Metazoa; Chordata; Testudines; Cheloniidae
Exons: 3
Source: RefSeq, a predicted model, not a curated record